RNAcentral lists this ribosomal RNA (577 nucleotides) under uncultured bacterium. Its description in RNAcentral is "bacterial SSU rRNA". It matches the Rfam family "Bacterial small subunit ribosomal RNA", at positions 338 to 916 of the family's 1533-position model. The record is from RNAcentral.
CCUACGGGAGGCAGCAGUAGGGAAUAUUGGGCAAUGGAGGCAACUCUGACCCAGCCAUGCCGCGUGCAGGAAGAAGGCGUUAUGCGUUGUAAACUGCUUUUAUAUAGGAAGAAAUAGACCUUGCGAGGUAAGUUGACGGUACUAUAUGAAUAAGCACCGGCUAACUCCGUGCCAGCAGCCGCGGUAAUACGGAGGGUGCAAGCGUUGUCCGGAUUUAUUGGGUUUAAAGGGUGCGUAGGCGGUUUAUUAAGUCAGUGGUGAAAGACGGUCGCUCAACGAUUGCAGUGCCAUUGAUACUGGUAGACUUGAGUGGGAUUGAGGUAGCUGGAAUGGAUAGUGUAGCGGUGAAAUGCAUAGAUAUUAUCCAGAACACCAAUUGCGUAGGCAAGUUACUAAGUCUCAACUGACGCUGAGGCACGAAAGUGUGGGUAUCAAACAGGAUUAGAUACCCUGGUAGUCCACACUGUAAACGAUGAUAACUAACUGUUGGCUUUCGAGUCAGUGGUACAGAGAAAUCGUUAAGUUAUCCACCUGGGGAAGUACGCCGGNAACGGUGAAACGUUAAAGGAAUUGACGG